RNAcentral lists this ribosomal RNA (466 nucleotides) under Vreelandella stevensii. RNAcentral's name for it is "partial 16S ribosomal RNA". It matches the Rfam family "Bacterial small subunit ribosomal RNA", at positions 338 to 795 of the family's 1533-position model. The record is from RNAcentral. Lineage: Bacteria; Pseudomonadati; Pseudomonadota; Gammaproteobacteria; Oceanospirillales; Halomonadaceae.
CCUACGGGGCGGCAGCAGUGGGGAAUAUUGGACAAUGGGCGAAAGCCUGAUCCAGCCAUGCCGCGUGUGUGAAGAAGGCCUUCGGGUUGUAAAGCACUUUCAGUGGGGAAGAAAGCCUUGGGGCUAAUACCCUCGAGGAAGGACAUCACCCACAGAAGAAGCACCGGCUAACUCCGUGCCAGCAGCCGCGGUAAUACGGAGGGUGCGAGCGUUAAUCGGAAUUACUGGGCGUAAAGCGCGCGUAGGCGGUCUGAUAAGCCGGUUAUGAAAGCCCCGGGCUCAACCUGGGAACGGCAUCCGGAACUGUCAGGCUAGAGUGCAGGAGAGGAAGGUAGAAUUCCCGGUGUAGCGGUGAAAUGCGUAGAGAUCGGGAGGAAUACCAGUGGCGAAGGCGGCCUUCUGGACUGACACUGACGCUGAGGUGCGAAAGCGUGGGUAGCAAACAGGAUUAGAUACCCCUGUAGUC